AUCCUGGACGAACCCACCUGUGUAGCAGACCGCAAAUUUUGAAAUUCCAGAGAACCGCGUGACGUGAGUUGACGAUGGAUAUGGUGAAGAAGUUUACUUUAGCAAAAAGACGGCAUUGUUUUAUGAUUAUAUUGUAAACUUGUGAUACGUAUCAACAAAACCACUAAGUACAUGGAUAGUAUGUGCUUCAGAGUUCUUGCAGCCAUUUUCACCUAAUAUUCUUGACACGCCACUUGUGUAGACAUUACCACGCCAGAGUGACGGCGGAUAUAGUCAACAGGCAGUAUUCUAGCAGAAACGAUAGUUCUUAUCAAUGCAGUUCAACAGAAGCACGCUCAACUCCACACGUUUCAAGGUACAGUCUUUGAUCUUGUAUCUGUCAUCGACAAAACAAUACUAGAUAUAAAUGGAUAGUACAUGCUUCAGCCUUCUUGCAGCCAUUUUCACUUAAUAUUCAGGAAGCACCACCUGUGUAGACAUUGCAAUGCAAGAGUGACAACGUGAAAUAACGGCAGAUAUAGUAAAUAGGCAGUAUUCCAGCAGAAACCUCAAUAAUUUGAUGUGUUCAUAGGUAUUUCCAUGAUGUAUAUCAACAAGACUAC
This is a long non-coding RNA of Anneissia japonica, 602 nucleotides long. RefSeq lists it as uncharacterized. NCBI's taxonomy places the organism in Eukaryota, Metazoa, Echinodermata, Crinoidea, Comatulida, Comatulidae. The record is from RefSeq and is a predicted model, not a curated record. The transcript is spliced from 4 exons.